CUUUGUGGAACACGUGUAAUCAACAAAAAUGUUUUGUGUUUGACUUUCACUCACUCAGAGUCACUGCUUCCUGUGUAAUUAAGUUUUGCUGCUUUUCUCUCAAAAUUCUCCACCAAUUAAAACACCAGGGCUCCAUUGAUCCUCACAAAAUGUUGCAAAAAUGUUUGCACUGUCUGCAGCUUUGAUUGGUAAAAAGUUUCAAACAUUUUGCUUUGUAUAAAUCAGAGCAUUACUGUCACAGUACCCCCAACUCAACCAACACAAGAUGAAUAGGUCCUCAUCAAACAUUCAUUAGAUAAGAUCUAAAAUUAAAUGUGUAAAAGCAGUUAAAGUAGCUGCACGAGAGAGAAAGAUAAAAAGCUGUGCAUAGUGAAUCUUCGCUCCGACGGCAGCUGAUUCUCAGUGUGCAGUCCAUCUCGCCAGCUACCUCAUUGCUUACAGGUGUAAUAACACAGAAUGAUCCAGUGCAGGAGUUCAGGGGCAGCUUUCAAGGAACAUUCUUUCUACACUCUUCUGCAGAAACAGCAGCUCAGCUGUGGUUUUUACAGCUUUCCUCCCAUUUUUAAUCAAAUGCGCAAUGUUCAGGAUUUGAGGUAAGAAUACUUUUAACCCAACCCUUUUCCAAACUACUAUUAAUGGAAUAAAGGUAAAUCAGGGAUCACCAACCCUGAUCCUGGAGAUCAGCUGCCGUGCCACUGCUGAUUGGCUGCUCAGCCAAUCCACAGUUAGGAAACACCAAACUUGAGAAAUCAUCUGUAGUGACCUCCAGCAGCAGGACUGGUGACCCUGGCAACGGUUACGUUUCAUGCAUCUAUAGAGGAAAUUUCACCUUGAUAUUGUAAUGUUGAGGUCACAUUGUGUGCUUUUGUAUUUUUUUUUUUAAUGGGUGCUUGCCCUGUCUCAUUCCCAGAACCCGCAUUCGUCUUGCUUGUUGUUCGGAGGACACUGGUACAACAAGCAGUCUCUGCAUAGAAAGUGAUGGGAAGUUCUUUCCUCCGAAACACCAAGUGGAAACACUGCGAGCUGCACUUCUAUUCAGACUGCAAGGACGUCCAUCAGUCAUCACUUCAUCCACGCUCAGGAAGCAGGUCCAACACCACGGUGUUGUAUUAAACUGCUCGUUGUUUUCACCUCUGGGUGUAGACCGAACUUUAUUUUGCUAGUGGGCUCUUCUGGCCACCGUACCUUUUGCCUGUAAAACAUUUUUUUUCUUUUCAUAGUAUUUUUUUUUUCCAGUAUCAGUACUUUGGCUUCUGAUAACUAGUUUUUAAGGUUGUUUUGUUAAUUCAAAUGUUGAAGCUGUAAAUUCUUUUUCAGAUGUUUUUGUAGUAAACACGAAAAAAACGUUUAGUUUUCACUUCUUAGAAACAAUGAUCACAGUCAGAGUGAGUCACAAGUUUAUUCUGAUGUACAGCUCCAUUUAAAAUUAAAAAAAAAAACUGAAGUUUGCAGGAUUUUAGUGAAGAAAAGCCUCAAAAGCAGUGACUCAUUCUGUCAGCAAACAGGCUCCACAUUCACUACAGAGACUUUUUCCUCCACCUGUUCCAGUUUGUGGGGAAAAGUUUCCAAAGUCUUUGGAAUCCAGAAAGGAGCUUGCCGAGUUCCAGUCUGUUGUCUGGAGUUUCUCAAAAGGCUCAUUUAUACGAGCAACAGCAUGAAGUAAAAGAAAACAGAGAAAAAGCAGCCACACACAUAUCAAGUCUGUUUGAUCAGGGAGGUUAAAUUAGACAGAAAAUAAGAAAUAAUCAGUUUUCGAGUUGUUGUGGCCAGCCCUUUGGCUGCCUCUCUCCCCUUCCCUUUUUCUGUUUUCCCUCCAGGUGGCGCGUUGCAGAGCCAAGGAACACCUGUUGCCCAUCAGCUACUCGCACCUGAGGCUCAUCUGUGGCUCAUCAGGAGUGGGUUACUUAAACCCCGGCUUUAAGCUCAGUGACUUCUGGAUUCUACAGGUGUCUCUCCAUGAGAAAUCCAUGACCUUGUCUAUGCUGACGCGUCCAUGCACGCUGACAUCUGAGCUUUCCACAGCUCAUCUCAAGAUGCUUUCCUGCCCAGCUUCCAUGCUUCGUGCUCCUGGUUCCCACGCCUCCUUCUGCACAAUGUCACUUUGGAACUCAUCUGCUCUCAGCCUCAGACCGCACAGCUCUGCCAGCGUUCAGCUACGUUCCUGCAUGUCUGUGAGAUCCUGUUCUCAUGCUGCUCCUGUUUGUGACUGUGCAUGACCAAGAACUGUUUCCAAGAACUAAUUCCAAGAACUGUUUUCCAAGAACUGUAUGAGCUCUGAUGUAGAACCACUAAGAUCUUUCCAAGUCAUUUCUAAAGUCAAGUCCAUCUUAAUUGGAACUGUGUCACAAGACGCACAACAGCUGGCCUCUGAAGACAAUUCAUGAACUGUGAAUGUUCCUGCCUUAAGCCUACAGUGAACUGUUGUGUUGAGGACUUCCAGUGUUACGAGUGCUAUCACUCACCUCUGUUCUCCUCCGUCCUCCUACUUCCUCGGCACUCUGCGUCCCACCUGGCCCCGGUUCCAGCUCCAUAUACUCCAGCUUGUUUUCAGACUCCCAAGUCUGUCCCUGUGUGCACUGCGACUACCGAACUUCCACCACUAUAUGUGGGCCCGGUCUCGGCUCAGCAGGCUUCCUCCAGCUCAGCACCUCAGUUAUUUAUUAUUGUAAAUGAAGCUCUCUUCGUUCACAACCUGUUCUGGUUCUUUCUCCCUACUGUUUAAGUCCGUCACCUGUACCGGUCCGGUCCCGUCCAGACCUCUAUCCACAACAUUUCUGUCCCGUAUACGUUCUGCUUCAGUGAACAGCUCUGUUAACUUUUUGUAAAAUGCAUCUCUGA
This is a long non-coding RNA of Thalassophryne amazonica, 2838 nucleotides long. RefSeq lists it as uncharacterized. The record is from RefSeq and is a predicted model, not a curated record. NCBI's taxonomy places the organism in Eukaryota, Metazoa, Chordata, Actinopteri, Batrachoidiformes, Batrachoididae. The transcript is spliced from 3 exons.